Molecule: ribosomal RNA, 253 nt
Filed under: uncultured bacterium
Lineage: Bacteria
Description: partial 16S ribosomal RNA
Rfam family: Bacterial small subunit ribosomal RNA
Source: RNAcentral
UACGAACUGUGCAAACGUUAUUCGGAAUUAUUGGGCGUAAAGGGCGCGUAGGCGGCGAUUCAAGUGACGGGUGAAAUCCCUCGGCUUAACCGAGGAACUGCCUGUCAGACUGGAUUGCUUGAGGCCGGGAGAGGCGAGUGGAAUUCCCAGUGUAGCGGUGAAAUGCGUAGAUAUUGGGAGGAACACCAGUGGCGAAGGCGGCUCGCUGGACCGGUUCUGACGCUGAGGCGCGAAAGCGUGGGGAGCAAACAGG